RNAcentral lists this ribosomal RNA (731 nucleotides) under Agromyces sp. RNAcentral's name for it is "bacterial SSU rRNA". It matches the Rfam family "Bacterial small subunit ribosomal RNA", at positions 105 to 848 of the family's 1533-position model. Lineage: Bacteria; Bacillati; Actinomycetota; Actinomycetes; Micrococcales; Microbacteriaceae. The record is from RNAcentral.
GGUGAGUAACACGUGAGUAACCUGCCCUGGACUCUGGGAUAAGCGCUGGAAACGGCGUCUAAUACCGGAUAGGACCUCGGAUCGCAUGAUCUGGGGUGGAAAGUUUUUUCGGUCUGGGAUGGACUCGCGGCCUAUCAGCUUGUUGGUGAGGUAAUGGCUCACCAAGGCGUCGACGGGUAGCCGGCCUGAGAGGGUGACCGGCCACACUGGGACUGAGACACGGCCCAGACUCCUACGGGAGGCAGCAGUGGGGAAUAUUGCACAAUGGGCGAAAGCCUGAUGCAGCAACGCCGCGUGGGGGAUGACGGCCUUCGGGUUGUAAACCUCUUUUAGUAGGGAAGAAGCGCAAGUGACGGUACCUGCAGAAAAAGCACCGGCUAACUACGUGCCAGCAGCCGCGGUAAUACGUAGGGUGCGAGCGUUGUCCGGAAUUAUUGGGCGUAAAGAGCUCGUAGGCGGUUUGUCGCGUCUGCUGUGAAAACCAGAGGCUCAACCUCUGGCCUGCAGUGGGUACGGGCAGACUUGAGUGCGGUAGGGGAGAAUGGAAUUCCUGGUGUAGCGGUGGAAUGCGCAGAUAUCAGGAGGAACACCGAUGGCGAAGGCAGUUCUCUGGGCCGUAACUGACGCUGAGGAGCGAAAGCGUGGGGAGCGAACAGGAUUAGAUACCCUGGUAGUCCACGCCGUAAACGUUGGGCGCUAGAUGUGGGGACCUUUCCACGGUUUCCGUGUCG